RNAcentral lists this ribosomal RNA (253 nucleotides) under uncultured bacterium. RNAcentral's name for it is "partial 16S ribosomal RNA". It matches the Rfam family "Bacterial small subunit ribosomal RNA", at positions 524 to 776 of the family's 1533-position model. The record is from RNAcentral.
UACGUAGGGUGCAAGCGUUGUUCGGAAUUACUGGGCGUAAAGAGUGUGUAGGCGGUGCUCUAAGUCUGUUGUGAAAUCUCCCGGCUUAACUGGGAGGGUGCGGCGGAGACUGGAGUGCUAGAGUGUGGGAGAGGUAAGCGGAAUUCCUGGUGUAGCGGUGAAAUGCGUAGAUAUCAGGAGGAACACCUGUGGUGUAGACAGCUUACUGGACCACGACUGACGCUGAGACACGAAAGCGUGGGUAGCAAACAGG